GACGAACGCUGGCGGCGUGCUUAACACAUGCAAGUCGAACGGUAAGGCCUUUCGGGGUACACGAGUGGCGAACGGGUGCGUAACACGUGGGUGAUCUGCCCUGCACUUCGGGAUAAGCCCGGGAAACUGGGUCUAAUACCGGAUAGGACUGCGCGGUGCAUGCCGUGUGGUGGAAAGAUUUAUCGGUGCAGGAUGGGCCCGCGGCCUAUCAGCUUGUUGGUGGGGUAAUGGCCUACCAAGGCGACGACGGGUAGCCGGCCUGAGAGGGCGACCGGCCACACGGGGACUGGGACACGGCCCAGACUCCUAGGGGGGGCAGCAGUGGGGAAUAUUGCACAAGGGGGGAAAGCCGGAUGCAGGGACGCCGGGGGGGGGAUGACGGCCUUGGGGUGGUAAACCCUUUUCAGGAGGGACGAAGCGUGAGUGACGGUACCGGCAGAAGAAGCACCGGCCAACUACGU
RNAcentral lists this ribosomal RNA (461 nucleotides) under uncultured bacterium. Its description in RNAcentral is "partial 16S ribosomal RNA". It matches the Rfam family "Bacterial small subunit ribosomal RNA", at positions 28 to 506 of the family's 1533-position model. The record is from RNAcentral.